RNAcentral lists this ribosomal RNA (253 nucleotides) under uncultured bacterium. RNAcentral's name for it is "partial 16S ribosomal RNA". It matches the Rfam family "Bacterial small subunit ribosomal RNA", at positions 524 to 776 of the family's 1533-position model. The record is from RNAcentral.
UACAGAGGGGGCAAGCGUUGUUCGGAAUUACUGGGCGUAAAGGGCGCGUAGGCGGCCUGCUAAGUCGAACGUGAAAUCCCUGGGCUCAACCCGGGAACUGCGUCCGAUACUGGCAGGCUUGAAUCCGGGAGAGGGAUGUGGAAUUCCAGGUGUAGCGGUGAAAUGCGUAGAUAUCUGGAGGAACACCGGUGGCGAAGGCGGCAUCCUGGACCGGUAUUGACGCUGAGGCGCGAAAGCUAGGGGAGCAAACGGG